AAUCUGCCCUGCACUCUGGGACAAGCCCUGGAAACGGGGUCUAAUACCGGAUACGACUCGGGAGGGCAUCCUUCCGGGUGGAAAGCUCCGGCGGUGCAGGAUGAGCCCGCGGCCUAUCAGCUUGUUGGUGGGGUGAUGGCCUACCAAGGCGACGACGGGUAGCCGGCCUGAGAGGGCGACCGGCCACACUGGGACUGAGACACGGCCCAGACUCCUACGGGAGGCAGCAGUGGGGAAUAUUGCACAAUGGGCGAAAGCCUGAUGCAGCGACGCCGCGUGAGGGAUGACGGCCUUCGGGUUGUAAACCUCUUUCAGCAGGGAAGAAGCGCAAGUGACGGUACCUGCAGAAGAAGCGCCGGCUAACUACGUGCCAGCAGCCGCGGUAAUACGUAGGGCGCAAGCGUUGUCCGGAAUUAUUGGGCGUAAAGAGCUCGUAGGCGGGCUUGUCGCGUCGGAUGUGAAAGCUCGGGGCUUAACCCCGGGUCUGCAUUCGAUACGGGCAGGCUA
RNAcentral lists this ribosomal RNA (507 nucleotides) under Streptomyces sp. 3CM7. RNAcentral's name for it is "bacterial SSU rRNA". It matches the Rfam family "Bacterial small subunit ribosomal RNA", at positions 123 to 643 of the family's 1533-position model. The record is from RNAcentral. Lineage: Bacteria; Bacillati; Actinomycetota; Actinomycetes; Kitasatosporales; Streptomycetaceae.